UAUUUCUUUUUUUUUUUUAAAUUAAAAAAAAUUGGGGCUUCAGCCCAUUUUCCUCUAACCCUACUCCUCCCCCAUUCUCUUAGGCGUUCUCCCUCUCUCACACUACUCGAUCUCUCUCCGCCUCUCUCACGCUUAUCUCUGUCGAUCUCCUCGUCUCUCUCAUACUCGAUCUCUCCAUCUUUCUCUCUGUACGAGAAAUCGACGGCGACACAGGGGGCUUGGUGACGACGACUUAGGCGCAAACGAGGGUGCUAGGUGGUUGUGAUGGCAGCGGGUUUGGGGGGAUCAACAUCAAUGGAAUAUGACCAAGUGGAGAUGAGGAGCGGGAUAGAAUAUGACCAAGUGGAUAUGUCAAACUUAAAGCAUUGGAUUGGUACUUGGGUUGCAAGAGGUAGUAAAUAGGGUUUCUCAUAUGCACGUGUGGUGAUGUGGGGAGUUCCGACGUCAGGGUGUGUAUGGCGUGGGGGUAUCCUAUGGGCGAACAAAUGAUCAGCUUAAAACGCCAAAAUUUAAAGGACGAUGUCAUGUUUUUAUUUUGAUUUCCAAACUUGUUAGUGGGACUUGAACUAUAUUGUUUUUUAAAACGUUGCAUGAGAACUUUUAUUUUAUUUUAAACUAUUGGGCCCAAUUCGCAUGUUUUAGCAAGACCCCAUUGAAAUUUUCAUAUAAUAAGUGGUUUUUCU
Molecule: long non-coding RNA, 683 nt
Organism: Humulus lupulus (European hop)
Lineage: Eukaryota; Viridiplantae; Streptophyta; Magnoliopsida; Rosales; Cannabaceae
Exons: 3
Source: RefSeq, a predicted model, not a curated record